CAAGAUGGGCAUUGAAAACAUGAGUGCCGUAGUGAAUUUCAAUACUGCGGCAAGUACGUGUGGUGCCCCUAUACAAACAGUCAACUCUUACUCCAAAAACAAGGAUAAGCAAAGGAUUUGACAGGGCUACAUGUACAUUUGCCGCAUCUACAAGCAAUCUCAAAUAGGAAUGAGCAGCAAACCUCAUAGGUGGUCAACAAUCCAUCCAACAUAGUAUCCCCUUUCUAGAGUUUAGACAUGUGGAAUAGUGACAUGAGAGGAGAAGUAGCAGCUACAAACGAGUUGAUAUAUCGUGGUUUUGCUAGACUCUAUGUUAGUAGGCAAGUGUGCUAGCACAUGGGGACAGGUUGUAUUCACCAGGAGUUUGGGAAUGUCACAAACGUGUCUGGAGUGUCUGAUAUAUUGACGAUUUCACCCUUUAAAAAAAAGACGUAUUUUAAC
Molecule: small RNA, 441 nt
Filed under: Oryza sativa Japonica Group (Japanese rice)
Lineage: Eukaryota; Viridiplantae; Streptophyta; Magnoliopsida; Poales; Poaceae
Description: sRNA Os02g0260000
Source: RNAcentral